Molecule: transfer-messenger RNA, 383 nt
Filed under: Candidatus Nomurabacteria bacterium RIFCSPHIGHO2_01_FULL_42_16
Lineage: Bacteria; Candidatus Nomuraibacteriota
Also listed under: 2 other names
Rfam family: transfer-messenger RNA
About the family: Bacterial tmRNA, also known as 10Sa RNA or SsrA, is named for its dual tRNA and mRNA-like properties.
Source: RNAcentral
GGGGAUGAUAGGCCUCGACAAAAGAUUUGAUCUUUAAAGUGCAUGCCGAGCUCCAAGUAACUCGAAAAACUGCUUGGAAAAAGUACGUGUAAACAACGUUACUGCAAAACUCCGGGGCGUGGCAAGCCCAUACGCCGGAGUCCCGGUUUACGCUUUAGCCUAAGCCGGCAUCUUGUCCGCCCACUCCGAUAAGCGGAACAGGGUGUCAUUUUUCGGAUAAGCCAAGAAGAUUGCCGAACUUCUUGGACAAAAAUUCUGGCUCGGCGCUUUGAGGUUUCGUCUGACUUUUUACUCUAAGCGCUUAAAAUACAAGUCUGACUACGCAUGUAGAUUCUUUAAGGACGGCCUUUUGGACGGCGGUUCAAUUCCGCCCAUCUCCACCA